AAUCAAGUGCCUUAAGGGUGUUCGGUGGAUGCCUUGGCGCUGAGAGGCGAUGAAGGACGUGCUACGCUGCGAUAAGCCGUGGGGAGCUGCGAAGAAGCUUUGAUCCAUGGAUUUCCGAAUGGGGAAACCCACCUUCGAUAGCCGGAACUCCAAGACCUCAGUCGAAAGACCGUGGUGUGGGGUUCGAACAGAAAUGUGAGAUGCCUAGGCCUUUAGAUUUCGAUCGAAGAGGUUUUGGAUUUCCGGUUAUCAAAAGAAGGUAUGAGACUUCUGAAUACAUAGGAGGUUUCAAGCAAACCCAGGGAACUGAAACAUCUAAGUACCUGGAGGAAAGGACAUCAACAGAGACUCCGUUAGUAGUGGCGAGCGAACGCGGACUAGGCC
RNAcentral lists this ribosomal RNA (384 nucleotides) under Bradyrhizobium sp. 11LoS34_2. Its description in RNAcentral is "bacterial LSU rRNA". It matches the Rfam family "Bacterial large subunit ribosomal RNA", at positions 1 to 270 of the family's 2925-position model. The record is from RNAcentral. Lineage: Bacteria; Pseudomonadati; Pseudomonadota; Alphaproteobacteria; Hyphomicrobiales; Nitrobacteraceae. RNAcentral also lists the same sequence under 1 other name.